UUUCUUUUUCCGUUUCCUCUUUUGUCCUUGCAGAGAUGAAAGAAAAAGCUGAGUUCUACUUUGUGGAAAAGGUGGGAGAAAGCUGUUGGAGAACCUUCAGAAGGUUUGUCAGAGCUCCACUGUUGGGAGUGCAGAGGUGAGAUGAGAAGAAGAGGAAACGUGUUCUCGCUUGCAACAAGUAUGUAAAUGUCUUUCCUACAUGUAUCCAACUUGUACACUUGUGUGUAUUAUGCUGAAAUGGGAAUUUUAUUUUUGGAGCCGAGUAGAAGCUGUUGCCUGUUUGAAAGGAUGACAUGAGGUCAAACCUCACUAACUCCUGGACGACAAGUGUCACAUGGCAGUCUGUCACCAAAGCACUGAUCAAACCUUUUUUGAAUAAUUUGGUAAAAGAAUAAUAAAAAAAAAGUUAGUGUUUGUGCUCUUACCGCAGUGUGAUCUCCAUUGCAGGACCUGUGAUUCUUCAGCAUGUUACAUAAGUUCAAAUGGAUUCUGACUGCUGCAGGAAAUGGAAUCCCAUUGGUCUUGAGCGAGGUACCCAGUGUCAGUGAUGCUGUAAACGGGAAUGGGCUGGUGUACAUCCCUUUGUUGAGGUCACAUCAGGAAGGUUGGGCCUGGCGCAGAAGACUCUUAUAGCAGUGUUCCUGAACUCCACGUUUGAGAUGAGAGCAUUUAUACUGCAGUGAACUUCACACUGGUUCCUGAAAGAAUACAGUGAUGCAGGAAGUCUUUAUUCUACUGUUUUUACCCAAACAUCAUGGGUGGCUCUUCAGUGCUGCUGUGCACAUUGUCUCAGGUCUGGAAAUCUGAAAUCUUGGCCUGUUGGUCUCAAGCUGGGCCGAGCCCUUAAAUCAAGUGCUUGGAUUUAUGGCUGAAGGGUUUCUCAGAAGAAAGUCAUCAGAUCACCUCUGUUUUCCUCACGUUAAUCUAGCUUGUCUUUAAAAUGGGGAAACGUUCUGUAUUUUUGUGUGCAAAAGAUCAAAAUUCAGUUGCUGGUUUUGUUGAAGUUUUUUCUGAAUCUUUGCACUGUUUGAUCUAAUAAACAUGUUAUAGAGGA
This is a long non-coding RNA of Thalassophryne amazonica, 1054 nucleotides long. RefSeq lists it as uncharacterized. Lineage: Eukaryota; Metazoa; Chordata; Actinopteri; Batrachoidiformes; Batrachoididae. The record is from RefSeq and is a predicted model, not a curated record. The transcript is spliced from 12 exons.